Molecule: ribosomal RNA, 465 nt
Filed under: uncultured bacterium
Lineage: Bacteria
Description: partial 16S ribosomal RNA
Rfam family: Bacterial small subunit ribosomal RNA
Source: RNAcentral
CCUACGGGAGGCAGCAGUGGGGAAUAUUGCGCAAUGGGCGAAAGCCUGACGCAGCGACGCCGCGUGAGGGAUGAAGGUCUUCGGAUCGUAAACCUCUGUCAGCAGGGAAGAACGGUCACUGUGCUAAUCAGCAGUGAAUUGACGGUACCUGCAAAGGACGCACCGGCUAACUCCGUGCCAGCCGCCGCGGUAAUACGGCGGGUGCGAGCGUUAAUCGGAAUUACUGGGCGUAAAGCGAUCGUAGGCGGUAUGUCAAGUCAAGGGUGAAAUCCCCGCGCUCAACGUGGGAACUGCCUUUGAAACUGGCAAACGUGAGUGUGUGAGAGGAUAGUGGAAUUCCAGGGGUAGGAGUGAAAUCCGUAGAUAUCUGGAGGAACAUCAGUGGCGAAGGCGACUAUCUGGCACAUAACUGACGCUGAGGAGCGAAAGCGUGGGUAGCAAACAGGAUUAGAUACCCGUGUAGUC